Molecule: non-coding RNA, 547 nt
Organism: Coffea arabica (coffee)
Lineage: Eukaryota; Viridiplantae; Streptophyta; Magnoliopsida; Gentianales; Rubiaceae
Source: RefSeq, a predicted model, not a curated record
CAUCUCUCUCACCUCUCCGCAUACAAUCUAUCUCAGCCAAUCCAGAAUGUUGGUCAAGCUGUCUCCGCAAACAACCAUCUUCAUCUUUUCUAACCUCAACUUUAAAUCCUUCGGCUAAGACAUCUGGAAGGGCAGGCAGGGAGUAAAAUUAGAAGAUCGGAGCUGUACAUUGGGAAAGCUGGAAGAUACUUCAGGCGCGCAAAUGUUGUUCCAAAAUCGAAGUGAUUGAACUUAGGAAUUUUGCGAAGACGUGAGCGCAGGAGUUGGUACGAAGGGUUUUUUUCUGUUAUUAGGUACUUAGGAACAUUAAAAUCUUAUGUUCGAAAUAAAAGUAGGCCUGAAGGUUCGAUUGCUCAAGGCUACUUGGCAGAAGAAUGCAUUAACUUUUGCUCAUUGUAUCUUGCGGACUAUGUUGAGACAAAAUUCAAUCGUCCAAGCAGAAAUGAAGAAGUACAUAAGGAAAUUGAAGAUGGUUUAGAUAUAUUCUCUGAAUCAGGACAUCCUUUGGGGAGGGGCAAGCCAACAGUCUUUGAUGCUCAUAUCUUGA